CACGUAGGCGGUUUGUCGCGUCUGCUGUGAAAUCCGGAGGCUCAACCUCCGGCCUGCAGUGGGUACGGGCAGACUAGAGUGCGGUAGGGGAGAUUGGAAUUCCUGGUGUAGCGGUGGAAUGCGCAGAUAUCAGGAGGAACACCAAUGGCGAAGGCAGAUCUCUGGGCCGUAACUGACGCUGAGGAGCGAAAGCAUGGGGAGCGAACA
RNAcentral lists this ribosomal RNA (207 nucleotides) under uncultured bacterium. RNAcentral describes it as "partial 16S ribosomal RNA". It matches the Rfam family "Bacterial small subunit ribosomal RNA", at positions 568 to 774 of the family's 1533-position model. The record is from RNAcentral.